AUUGAACGCUGGCGGCAUGCCUUACACAUGCAAGUCGAACGGCAGCACGGACUUCGGUCUGGUGGCGAGUGGCGAACGGGUGAGUAAUGUAUCGGAACGUACCUUUCAGUGGGGGAUAACGUAGCGAAAGUUACGCUAAUACCGCAUAUUCUGUGAGCAGGAAAGCAGGGGAUCGAAAGACCUUGCGCUGAUUGAGCGGCCGAUAUCAGAUUAGCUAGUUGGUGGGGUAUAGGCCUACCAAGGCGACGAUCUGUAGCGGGUCUGAGAGGAUGAUCCGCCACACUGGAACUGAGACACGGUCCAGACUCCUACGGGAGGCAGCAGUGGGGAAUUUUGGACAAUGGGGGCAACCCUGAUCCAGCCAUGCCGCGUGAGUGAAGAAGGCCUUCGGGUUGUAAAGCUCUUUCGGCCGGGAAGAAAUCCCAUAGGCUAAUACCCUGUGUGGAUGACGGUACCGGAAGAAGAAGCACCGGCUAACUACGUG
This 484-nucleotide ribosomal RNA is filed under the name uncultured bacterium. Its description in RNAcentral is "partial 16S ribosomal RNA". It matches the Rfam family "Bacterial small subunit ribosomal RNA", at positions 30 to 507 of the family's 1533-position model. The record is from RNAcentral.